Daphnia pulex (common water flea) is the source of this 1674-nucleotide long non-coding RNA. RefSeq lists it as uncharacterized. The record is from RefSeq and is a predicted model, not a curated record. The transcript is spliced from 9 exons. NCBI's taxonomy places the organism in Eukaryota, Metazoa, Arthropoda, Branchiopoda, Diplostraca, Daphniidae.
UACUUUCAAAAUGGCUGCUGACAGUCCGACGGCCUCGGCCUGCCUCGGCGUAAUAAUAAUCACCUAAGUCAACUCAACUUACUCAACUUACUCAACUUAGUUUCCCUGACAUUAUUCGUCUAAAAAUGAUAACAUAGUCUACAAUUUACACUUGGCAAUUCCAUCUGAUCAUGUAGCCUGAAACUGCUGUUUCCCAAAAUGUCGUCUCUUGCUGCACGUACCGGCUGUGCGUUUCGUCACAUUUCGAAAUACUUCACGAAAGUAAAACACGGUGAAGUCUGAGCUUCUUCAUUGCAGUCCAAUGCAAUGUACAGUGUGAUUUGUUGCAGCCAGCUGGCAAAAGGUUUUCCUCUUGCAGGCUUGCUACCUGUAGCGUUUGUAGCUUUUGUCACACGCAGAAACACUUCUGAACCAUUUAAAGAUUAACAGCCUCUUGAGGUCUGAGCCUCUUUGUUGCACUCCAAUGUUCACAUGAAUUUAGUGCAGCCAGCUAGUAGUGAACGGUGUGGUGAGCUGUUGCAUUGCAGACUGGUGUUGGUGUCGUUCGUUCAUUUGACUAUGGACCGUUUAGUCGUUCGUUUAUCGUAAGAAAUCUGUCACUUGUCGUAGAUUUCCAUGGUCAGUUUUAUGUUUGAGCUGUUGAUUGCUGUUUGGGGUACAGUGGUUUUUCAGUCAUUUUCCAUUUGAGAGAUGCGCUGAAAUGGAGCUUGUGCGGACUUGCAGUUGAACAACAUACUUCAAUGUGUCAUUUGUCUAUGUUGGUGUCCAUGCAGUGGUGAACUGUUGUGCAAAAUAGUCGAUGUUGCCUGAUGCUUGUUGGGCUUAUUUUAUCGGCAGCAUUUUGUCGAUAUGUCGUCUCUUGCCACCUGUACCGCCAUUGAGUUGAUUGUUUGCCGCCGUUCCUUAGACCUGAUCCACUGGUGAAACUAAGAAGACGUUGCUGAAAUUCAAGAUUGAUCAAUUAAUAAUGUUUAGAAAUUACAAGUGCAUAUCUGGGCUCCGGCUCCCUUCUCAGUGGCCCCGUUUCCCUAAUUAACCACUAACCAACGCCCACCGGUGGUCACUCACUCGCUGUGACAACCAGGAGGAAGGGAAUGGACUGGUCGAACGGGGACUUGCAAGGCGCAUGAUUCGAUGAAAUCUGUUGGAGGGUCAUGAGUCUAAGCCGGAAGCCUACUAAGAUUAAUCGCUCUCGUAAUAACUGUUCCUCGGCUCUCUUCGCUCUUUUUCCGGUUUCUCUUAACCAUGGCCGGGUAAUCUCCUGGUCGAGUCAGUGCGGGCAAUAAGAAUUUUAAGCUGGAACAACGCCUCCUUUGAGCGGUCCGGACAAUCCUGAAUCCUUUAGGGUUGCCAUUCCAUCGAGGCUGAAACGAGGAUGACGCGGAGGUGUUGCCCAUUGAGGGGUUUUUGUGACAAGGAGUCACUGAACGAAACGCUAAACCAAAUGAAAAAAGAUUGUCUUCUCCGACCGCAGGUGCAAGGAAUAUGUUUGAAACUUAGAAAAGUUUGCAGUAGAAAAUAAAAAAAAAAGCCAACUGUCCUUCAAACGGUUCGAAAUGGAAGAUUUAUUCAUUUGACACCGAAGAAACGAGUCAAAAGUCAAAUGUGGUAUUUUUAAACAACGUCAACCUGCUGAAAGAAAAAGGCCAGUUUCUAUGACCUUGACGCUCGAAG